Molecule: unclassified non-coding RNA, 433 nt
Filed under: soil metagenome
Description: partial contains 5.8S ribosomal RNA, internal transcribed spacer 2, and large subunit ribosomal RNA
Rfam family: 5.8S ribosomal RNA (bases 1-120)
Source: RNAcentral
GAUGAAGAACGUAGCGAAAUGCGAUACGUAAUGUGAAUUGCAGAAUUCAGUGAAUCAUCGAAUCUUUGAACGCAUAUUGCGCUCUCUGGUAUUCCGGAGAGCAUGCUUGUUUGAGUAUCAGUAAACACCUCAACUCCCUUUUCUUUUUUGAAAUGGGAGCUGGACUUGAGUGAUCCCAACACUUUUCUCACUGGAAAGUGGCGGGUCACUUGAAAUGCAGGUGCAGCUGGACUUUUCUCUGAGCUAUAAGCAUAUCUAUUUAGUCUGCCUAAAAAACAGAUUAUUACCUUUGCUGAAGCUAACAUAAAGGAGAUGAGUUCUUGUGCUGACUGAUGCAGGAUUCACAGAGACAGCUUUGCGGCUGACUUUGUAAACUCGAUCUCAAAUCAAGUAAGACUACCCGCUGAACUUAAGCAUAUCAAUAAGCGGAGGA